UACGAAGGGGGCUAGCGUUGCUCGGAAUUACUGGGCGUAAAGCGCACGUAGGCGGCUCUUUAAGUCGGGGGUGAAAUCCUGGAGCUCAACUCCAGAACUGCCUUCGAUACUGUAAAGCUUGAGUUCGGGAGAGGUGAGUGGAACUGCGAGUGUAGAGGUGAAAUUCGUAGAUAUUCGCAAGAACACCAGUGGCGAAGGCGGCUCACUGGCCCGAUACUGACGCUGAGGUGCGAAAGCGUGGGGAGCAAACAGG
RNAcentral lists this ribosomal RNA (253 nucleotides) under uncultured bacterium. RNAcentral describes it as "partial 16S ribosomal RNA". It matches the Rfam family "Bacterial small subunit ribosomal RNA", at positions 524 to 776 of the family's 1533-position model. The record is from RNAcentral.